This 72-nucleotide transfer RNA is filed under the name Sphaerodactylus townsendi. Its description in RNAcentral is "tRNA-Ala". It matches the Rfam family "tRNA". From Rfam's summary of the family: Transfer RNA (tRNA) molecules are approximately 80 nucleotides in length. Their secondary structure includes four short double-helical elements and three loops (D, anti-codon, and T loops). The record is from RNAcentral. Lineage: Eukaryota; Metazoa; Chordata; Lepidosauria; Squamata; Sphaerodactylidae.
GCAAGUGUGGCUCAGUGGAAGAGCAUCUGCUUGGCCUGCAGAAGGUCCCAGGUUCAAUCUUCGACAUCUCCA